GACACUUUGGCGGAGUGGUUAACGCGAUGCCCUGCUAUUAAUCCAGUCUAGGCAUUUCCUUCGGGAGCGCAGAUUCGAAUUCUGCAGGUGUCG
This 93-nucleotide transfer RNA is filed under the name Capronia epimyces CBS 606.96. It matches the Rfam family "tRNA". Rfam says of the family: Transfer RNA (tRNA) molecules are approximately 80 nucleotides in length. Their secondary structure includes four short double-helical elements and three loops (D, anti-codon, and T loops). Lineage: Eukaryota; Fungi; Ascomycota; Eurotiomycetes; Chaetothyriales; Herpotrichiellaceae. The record is from Rfam by way of RNAcentral.